GAGGGUAUCGCUCAGUGGUAGAGCGCAUGCUUAGCAUGCAUGAAGUCCUGAGUUCAAUCCCCAGUACCUCCA
This 72-nucleotide transfer RNA is filed under the name Camelus bactrianus (Bactrian camel). It matches the Rfam family "tRNA". From Rfam's summary of the family: Transfer RNA (tRNA) molecules are approximately 80 nucleotides in length. Their secondary structure includes four short double-helical elements and three loops (D, anti-codon, and T loops). Lineage: Eukaryota; Metazoa; Chordata; Mammalia; Artiodactyla; Camelidae. The record is from Rfam by way of RNAcentral. RNAcentral also lists the same sequence under 2 other names.